This 312-nucleotide ribosomal RNA is filed under the name Triticum aestivum (bread wheat). Its description in RNAcentral is "partial small subunit ribosomal RNA". Lineage: Eukaryota; Viridiplantae; Streptophyta; Magnoliopsida; Poales; Poaceae. The record is from RNAcentral.
AUGGAAUAUAAUAUGGUUCCUAAAAUAGCUGACUUUGGUAUCUCAAGAUGUUUUGAUGAAACAAGGACUUGUUAUUACUUCAAAAGUGAUGGGAUUAGUGUAAGCCGGCUAAGCCUCUCGAAAACUCUCAAGCUCUUUUUUUCAGGGUUCACUUUUAAAUUAUGUAUUCAUUAUCUUCUCAUUUCAUGCAGGGGAUAUACUUUACUAAAAGUUCUUUUCAGUGGAAUAAUCACAUUCAAAUCAGACAUAUACAAUCUUAGUCUAUAUAUCAAUAAUUAUGGAGAUAUUGAUUAUGAUGAAGAGGUAUUUUGA